This 170-nucleotide ribosomal RNA is filed under the name uncultured Alphaproteobacteria bacterium. RNAcentral describes it as "partial 16S ribosomal RNA". It matches the Rfam family "Bacterial small subunit ribosomal RNA", at positions 338 to 525 of the family's 1533-position model. Lineage: Bacteria; Pseudomonadati; Pseudomonadota; Alphaproteobacteria. The record is from RNAcentral.
CCUACCGGAGGUGCCGGUGGGGAAUCUUACACCAUGGGGGCAACCCUGAUCUAACCUUGCCGCGUGAGUGAUGAAGGCCUUAGGGUCGUAAAGCUCUUUCGCCUGUGAUGAUAAUGACAGUAGCAGGUAAAGAAACCCCGGCUAACUCCGUGCCAGCAUCCGCGGUAAUA